UUGAAUAGGAAUCUUUGUGGUUUCCGCUGCCUGCACCAUGACAUGCUGGCGCGGAAAGUGAACAAGGGAACCGGGUGAGAAUCCCGGACGGUAACCGCCGCUGUAUG
RNAcentral lists this non-coding RNA (107 nucleotides) under Pseudoflavonifractor capillosus ATCC 29799. The record is from RNAcentral. Lineage: Bacteria; Bacillati; Bacillota; Clostridia; Eubacteriales; Oscillospiraceae.